Molecule: long non-coding RNA, 5517 nt
Filed under: Nicotiana tabacum (common tobacco)
Lineage: Eukaryota; Viridiplantae; Streptophyta; Magnoliopsida; Solanales; Solanaceae
Description: long non-coding RNA (NTAB_LNC014310)
Source: RNAcentral
GGGGGGGGGGGUCUCCGUUUGUAUUGCUGCGGCUGCUCUCUUUCGCUUUUUUCAGCUUUUUCUCUUUGUUAUCUCUUAUGCGCAGCCUUUUUUUUUUUGUUCCCCUUUUUCAUUGGGUAAAGAAUGGUUUUAUAGAGUGUCUGGAAUGGGGUGUUAUGUGGGGAAGUCUUAUUUGGGGAGAAGGUGUUAUGUGAGGUAAUAUUUUGGGGGGAAGGUUUUAGGUGGGGAAAUAUUUUGGGGGGAAGAUUUUAGGUGGGGAGAAAUGAUUUGGGGGGAAAUAUUUUUGGGGAAGGUUCUUCCCAUUUUUAUUCCUAAUUUCUUUUUAUCUUCCUUUUUUGUAUUUUAUUUAUUUAUUUUGUAUUUUAUUUUCUGAUUUUGUUAAAUGCUAAAUUAAAAACCAAAACUCAAAUUGACUCUAAAAUUAUACUUCCAAAUUUCCAAUUACACUAAUUCCCUAUUUUAAAUGCAAACUAAACAGAUUAAAACUAAAAAAUGCAAAAAUGACCAUUUUUGUUAUUUUCAUUUUCCUAAAAGUAAUUCACUAUUAAUUAAUCCUAAAAUGUAAAAUUAAAUUCUAAAUGCAAAUGUCAAGUAUUUUGGUAUUUAUUAUUUUGAUUUUGAAAUAUUAAAAUGCAUGAAAUGCAACUAAAAAAGAAACAAUUCCUAAAAAAUCAAAUAAAAAUUAUUUAGACUUAUUUUUAGGAGUUAUCUUCAUGUAGGGCAAAAAUCACAUGCUUACAGCUGCCCCUCUUUGCUCGGAAACACGAAGAGUUUUCGGGCAAAGAUAAAGUAAGCACUGUGAGGGAUUUUUGCCCAUUUGAAACUCCAUGAGAAACAUUUUUUGAAAAACUGUCUGACCGAACCUUGCUUCAAAGGUUGCCCACAUAUCCUUGGCUAUAAAGAAAUCAGGUCAGGUGUAGUUCAGAAGUGAACGAGGUGAUGGAGUACCGAGGUUGAGAGUCGAGGUACCGUCCGAGGCUCCGGUCUGCUGUCUCGUUAUUACAUCAAAGUCAAAAUUGAAAAAUACUAACUAAGUCUAUCAGCUACAAGUUACAAGAUUCCUAUCUAUGAGUCUUCUGAAGCUUGAUCUUGAGUCUUGGUUGGUGCUUCAUGCGGACCCUGAUCUGAAUCUUGAUUCUUGUUGGCCGCAGGUGUUGGUUCAAUCUUCUUCUGGGUCAAGACCGGACAUGUAGUGCUCAUGACUUCAACCACGUCUUGAGCAGUUCACUUCUUUUCCUGCUUCUGAACUUUGGAGCUCACUUUUUUGUUCUUUUUCUUCUUUCCUUUGUUUUGAAUUGAGACUCAUUCUUUCUGCCAUCUCGAAUCGUGUGCCUCGAGGUCAAACCUGCUCGGCACUUUGAACCAUUUUCCCUUGAAACUUGAGUUGUCUUCCGUCGACACUGAUUUCCCUUGAAACUUGAGUUGUCUUCCCUUGCUCCCCAGGUGAAAUCCAUUGUUGCCUUUUUGAAUUGUAACAGAAUUCAUAAAUGUAAGAUAAAGGCAGAAGUUGGAAAAACGAAAGGAAGGAAUAAUUUGGAAAAAGAUAAAGGCAGAAGUUGGAAAAGAAAGGAGGGCAUAAUUUAGAUAAAAGCAGAAGUUGGAAAAAGGAGGGAAGGCAGAAUUUGAGGAAAAAGAAAGGAAGGCAUAAUUUAAAGAAGGAGAAGGCAGAAGUCGGGGAAAAAAAAGAAAGGAAGCCAUAAUUUGGGAACAAGAAAGGAAGGCAGAAUUUGAAAAGAAACGAAGUUGGAAUUUGGAAAUUAAGAAAGUCUGGAUCACACAAAAAUGGACCUAGUCUGAUGAAUUAUCUCCUAGAGUCAAAAUCUCAGUCCGAUGAAUCUUCCUCCUGAGAUCACACAAAAAUGGACCUAGUCUGAUGAAUUAUCUCCUAGAGUCACAAUCUUAGUCUGUUGAAUCUUUCUCCUAAGAUAAAAAUCUUAGUCUGAUGAAUUUUUCACCUAAGAUAAAUAUAAAAGUCUUAGUCUGUUGAAUCUUUUUCCUAAGAUGAAAAUCUUAGUCUGACGAAUUUUUCACCUAAGAUAAAGACAAAAAUCUUAAUCUGUUGAAUCUUUCUCCUAAGAUGAAAAUCUUAGCCUGAUGAAUAUUUUACCUAAGAUAAAAGAUAAAAAUCUUAGUCUGUUGAAUCUUUCUCCUAAGAUGGAAAUCUUAGUCUGAUGAAUUUUUCACCUAAGAUAAAGAUAAAUCUUAGUCAGUCGAAUCUUUCACCUAAGAAGAAAAUCUUAGUUUGAUGAAUUUUUCACCUAAGAGAAAUUUUAAAUUUUAAGAUACAUUUCAGUCUUUAAAUUUUUAAAAGUUGCAUUUCAGUCUUAUCACAAUUCAAGUUUUAGUUCUUAUUAGUAUGUGGUAACAAACACCCAGUUUUCCAAACUGGGGCAGAAAGUUUUCUUUGUUUUGUCUAUUUUUGUGAAGUCAGGAGCCCGCCUGGAUAAUAGAAGAAUACAUUCAACUUCAAAUUCAGCAAUCAGGAGCCCGCCUGAAGAACAGAAGCAUACAAUUCAAGUUUUGAAAGUCAGGAGCCCGCCUGUAUAACGGAGGUAUUUCAAGUCAAGUUUUAAUCAUAUUCUUAUAAAUAUCCAGUAACAUGUACCCAGUUUCCAAACUGGGGCAAAAAGUUUUCUUUGUUGUGUCUAUUUUUAUGAAGUCAGGAGCCCACCUGGAUAAGAGAGCAGUCGCAGCAAUACAAAGGAGACCCCCCCCCCCCCUCCGAUGGACUCAUCUUCUUCAGAUAAGUCAUCUUCCAUGGCUUCUUAAUAAAGAGCGCACAAGGACUCCCCCCAUGUCAUCUUCUUCUCCAAGAACCCAACCCCCUGAAGAGCGUCUUCUUUGUCACCUCUACCAAACCGGCGACGCUUCAUCUCCUCCACCAAGCUCGCCGAAAAUCCAACAAUGAUCUUCAUCAGAAACACACACACACACACGAAAGCACACAGAGAUACACAACUGCUUCAGUUUCAUUAUGAUGAUUUUGAUUUUUGGAUUUGUUGUGGAGUUCAAUUAAAUUUCAAAGUUUCGCUUCUUCUGAUUUCAAUGGAAAUUGAUUCGACUCCGGUCAUGGAGUUUUCUUUGAGUUUUAUUGCUGUUUCUUUGGUUCGAUGGUGACUGUUCGAGGUAGAUUUUUUUCCGUCGAGGUCUUGUUCACAUCACCGAUUCCGUUUUUUUAGGUUAAUUUUCAUCUCUUGCUUUAUUAAGGUCUUGUUUGCGUUGGUGGUUGUUAAUGAAUUUUCUGGUGAUAGGCUGAAAUUUAAUUACCUCCUAUUGUAGUUUAAAGUUUACCGUGAAAUAGAUUGUAUCCAUAUAAGAAAGUAUUCAUUGCAAGUUAGUUCAUGAAAAAAAAUGAUUGUUGCUGUAAAAUUCGGAUUACUUUUCUAGUAUAACAACUUGGUUGUGUUCUUGAAUUUAUUUAAGCAUGUCUUCAUGUGUCCUCAAAUUAGUUUAAGUCACUACUAUUUGCCGAUAAGAAUAUCCUCUUUUAAUGUUGUCUCAUGGCAAAGAAAAGAUGUUUUCAGUUGUGGCUGGUUAGCUUUUCCAUCUGUUUCUAUGGAGCUUUUGGCUUGGAAUUUUAGUGUUAUUUUGGUGUUGUUUCAUGGUGGAGUUUGCAACAUUUCUUUCAGUUGUUUUCCUGCAUUUUGUGUAUAUUUUAGGCCAAAAACAAAGCUGUUUUUGGCUUAUUUCGGGCCGUUAUUGGGGAUGGUUUUGAUGAAAGAAAGGUGACAUUUCAGCGACUUAUUUUUGCUAAAACAGUGGUGUUUGGAAAGUGAUUAAGGGCUGAUUUUCACGGUUGAUUUUGUUAGGUUUGGAGAUGAUUUUUUGUGUUAAUUUUCAAGUUGUUUUGAGGUAUCUUUGGGGGUUAAUGGAUUGGGUGAUGGGGGCUCCUUUCAUAUCUACAAUAAGACAAUAGAAAGAUGAAGAAGAUUUGUGUGCUCUUAUGGAUGAGCGUUCUUCAACCUUUUCCUAUGGGAAGUUCACGUGAGUAGUAAAAAAUAUAAAAUGACCCAUAAUACUUUGUUUAACCACCAGCUGCACGAUGACCCCGAAUCUAGGAUUAAGCAAUUGGUGAACAAUGCGCUAGUUGCUUUAGGCGCGUUAUAAUAAAAUUAUCAUAGCUACGUGUACGGUUCCCGUGACGUAGUUGUGAUACGUAAUCCUAAAUUCGGGUGCGCAUUUAUGUGACCCAAAUCCAAAUCUCGAUGAAGUCGAAAUGUGUUGACAAUCACGGGCGCAUUGAUUGCGACGGGGUCGAAACGCGUUUUAACGACAUCGUAAUUCUUAUAAAAUAAAUAAUGAUAGAAAAGAGGUUCACAAAUUAAGACGAGCCUCACCGCACAAAAAUAAAUAAAUGUGGAGCCCUCAAUAAAUGGUUAUUAAAAAUGAUUAAAAUUUGGAAUGGCCAUUUAGCGAACUUCACGGUCUUCCCCAAAAUAAUAUUACGUUAGAAUCUUUAGGCGCGAUUUUAAUUAAAUUACCUUCUUAAACUCAGGUGCGCAUUGAUGCGACCCAAAUCACAAUCUCGACGAAGUCGAAAUGUGUUAACAACCACGGGUGCAUUGAUUGCGACGUGGUUCGAAACGCGUUUUCACGAUGUUGCAAUUCUUUUAAAAUAAAUAAUGAUAAAAAGUGGUUUACGAAUAAAAGGCAUAUAAGCUAGCAGGUAUUAAAAUCAAAUGCAACAGUUAAGCGACCGUGCUAGAACCACGGAACUCAGGAAUGCCUAACACCUUCUCCCGGGUUAACAGAAUUCCUUACUUGGAUUUCUAGUUCGCAGACUGUUACAGAGUCAUAUUUUUCCUCGGUUUGGGAUUCAACCAGUGACUUGGGACACCAAAAGCCAAACCUUUCCCAAGUGGCGACUCUGAAUAAUUAACAAUUAAAUCCCGUUCCGAUUGUCCUUUAAGUGGAAAAACUCCCUUGAAUCUACACCCUAUACGGGGUGUAAGUGAAAAAGGAGGUGUGACUUAUUUUUAGGAGUUCCUCAAUUUGUGAACCUUCCCCAGCAGAGUCGCCAGAGCUGUCACACCUACUUUCUUUUCCAACUUCUGCCUUUAUCUUUUUCCAAAUUAUGCCUUCCUUUCGUUUUCCCAACUUCUGCCUUUAUCUUAGGUGAAAGAUUUAUCAGACUAAGAUUUUUAUCUUAGGUGAAAAAUUCAGCAGACUAAGAUUUCUUUAUCUUAGGUGAAAGAUUCAACAGACUAAGAUUUCUUUGUCUUAGGUGAAAAAUUCAUCAGACUAAGAUUUUUCUUUUAACCAUUUUCCUUCGAAAUUUGUUUUAUCUACCCACUAACUUGAAUUAUCUUCCUUCAGAACUGCUUCCCUAAAAACUGGUGUUGUCCUCCUUCAAAAAACCACUUCCCUAAAAACUAGUGUUUCAUUCCUCCAAAAAUUACUUUUCUUAAAACUGGUGUUUCUUUCCUGAAAACUACUUCCCUAUUUUUUUUUCUCUUUUUUGAAACACUUGUAUUAACCUUCAUGUUCUUCAGAUGGGUACCUGACUUCAAAAAAAAA